RNAcentral lists this ribosomal RNA (420 nucleotides) under Fusobacteriota bacterium. RNAcentral describes it as "Fusobacteria bacterium partial 16S ribosomal RNA". It matches the Rfam family "Bacterial small subunit ribosomal RNA", at positions 355 to 776 of the family's 1533-position model. The record is from RNAcentral. Lineage: Bacteria; Fusobacteriati; Fusobacteriota.
UGGGGGAUAUUGCACAAUGGGCGAAAGCCUGAUGCAGCGACGCCGCGUGGGGGAUGAAGGCCUUCGGGUUGUAAACUUCUUUUGCUCUGAACAAGGCAUGCCUUUGGGGUGUGUUGAGUGUAGGGGUUGAUUAGCGCCGGCUAACUACGUGCCAGCAGCCGCGGUAAUACGUAGGGCGCGAGCGUUGUCCGGAAUUAUUGGGCGUAAAGGGCUUGUAGGUGGCUGGUUGCGUCUGUCGUGAAAGCUCAUGGCUUAACUGUGGGUUUGCGGUGGGUACGGGCUGGCUUGAGUGGAGUGGGGGAGGCUGGAAUUCCUGGUGUAGCGGUGGAAUGCGCAGAUAUCAGGAGGAAUACCGGUGGCGAAGGCGGGUCUCUGGGCUGUUACUGACGCUGAGGAGCGAAAGCGUAGGGAGCGAACAGG